This 78-nucleotide microRNA precursor is filed under the name Schistosoma mansoni. RNAcentral's name for it is "mir-3492 microRNA precursor family". It matches the Rfam family "mir-3492 microRNA precursor family". Lineage: Eukaryota; Metazoa; Platyhelminthes; Trematoda; Strigeidida; Schistosomatidae. The record is from Rfam by way of RNAcentral.
AGCAUUUUGAAUCCGUGCGCAGAUUUCGUCAGACAACAACCCAUUAGUGCUGAAUAGACUUCCAAGAUAAUUGAAGUU